Molecule: ribosomal RNA, 468 nt
Filed under: uncultured bacterium
Lineage: Bacteria
Description: partial 16S ribosomal RNA
Rfam family: Bacterial small subunit ribosomal RNA
Source: RNAcentral
GACGAACGCUGGCGGCGUGCUUAACACAUGCAAGUCGAACGGAAAGGCCCUGCUUUUGUGGGGUGCUCGAGUGGCGAACGGGUGCGUAACACGUGAGUAACCUGCCCUUGACUUUGGGAUAACUUCAGGAAACUGGGGCUAAUACCGGAUAGGAGCUCCUGCUGCAUGGUGGGGGUUGGAAAGUUUCGGCGGUUGGGGAUGGAUUCGCGGCUUACCAGUUUGUUGGUGGGGUAGUGGCUUACCAAGGCUUUGACGGGUAGCCGGCCUGAGAGGGUGACCGGCCACAUUGGGACUGAGAGACGGCCCAGACUCCUACGGGAGGCAGCGGUGGGGAAUAUUGCACAAUGGGCGGAAGCCUGAGGCAGCAGCGCCGCGUGCGUGAUGACGGCCUUCGGGGUGUAAACCGCUGUCGCCUGUGACGAAGCGUGAGUGACGGUAAUGGGUAAAGAAGCACCGGCUAACUACGUG